RNAcentral lists this ribosomal RNA (480 nucleotides) under uncultured organism. RNAcentral's name for it is "bacterial SSU rRNA". It matches the Rfam family "Bacterial small subunit ribosomal RNA", at positions 8 to 485 of the family's 1533-position model. The record is from RNAcentral.
AGAGUUUGAUCGUGGCUCAGGACGAACGCUGGCGGCGUGCUUAACACAUGCAAGUCGAACGAUGAUGCGGCGCUUGCGCCGUUGAUUAGUGGCGAACGGGUGAGUAACACGUGAGUAACCUGCCCCCUUCUUCGGGAUAACGGUCUGAAAGGGCUGCUAAUACCGGGUAUUCACUGGUCUCCGCAUGGGGGCUGGUGGAAAGGGUUUUUUCUGGUGGGGGAUGGGCUCGCGGCCUAUCAGCUUGUUGGUGGGGUGAUGGCCCACCAAGGCUUUGACGGGUAGCCGGCCUGAGAGGGUGACCGGUCACAUUGGGACUGAGAUACGGCCCAGACUCCUACGGGAGGCAGCAGUGGGGAAUAUUGCACAGUGGGCGCAAGCCUGAUGCAGCGACGCCGCGUGAGGGAUGGAGGCCUUCGGGUUGUGAACCUCUUUCGCCCGUGGUCAAGCCGCGACGUGGGUCGUGGUGAGGGUAGUGGUAAG